This 528-nucleotide ribosomal RNA is filed under the name Bifidobacterium dentium. RNAcentral describes it as "bacterial SSU rRNA". It matches the Rfam family "Bacterial small subunit ribosomal RNA", at positions 160 to 698 of the family's 1533-position model. Lineage: Bacteria; Bacillati; Actinomycetota; Actinomycetes; Bifidobacteriales; Bifidobacteriaceae. The record is from RNAcentral.
GUGGUAAUGCCGGAUGCUCCGGUUGGAUGCAUGUCCUUCCGGGAAAGGUUCCAUCGGUAUGGGAUGGGGUCGCGUCCUAUCAGCUUGAUGGCGGGGUAACGGCCCACCAUGGCUUCGACGGGUAGCCGGCCUGAGAGGGCGACCGGCCACAUUGGGACUGAGAUACGGCCCAGACUCCUACGGGAGGCAGCAGUGGGGAAUAUUGCACAAUGGGCGCAAGCCUGAUGCAGCGACGCCGCGUGCGGGAUGGAGGCCUUCGGGUUGUAAACCGCUUUUGAUCGGGAGCAAGCCCUUCGGGGUGAGUGUACCUUUCGAAUAAGCACCGGCUAACUACGUGCCAGCAGCCGCGGUAAUACGUAGGGUGCAAGCGUUAUCCGGAAUUAUUGGGCGUAAAGGGCUCGUAGGCGGUUCGUCGCGUCCGGUGUGAAAGCCCAUCGCUUAACGGUGGGUCUGCGCCGGGUACGGGCGGGCUGGAGUGCGGUAGGGGAGACUGGAAUUCCCGGUGUAACGGUGGAAUGUGUAGAUAUC